GAAACCUACGGGGCGCAGCAGUGGGGGAUAUUGCACAAUGGGGGAAACCCUGAUGCAGCGACGCCGCGUGAGUGAAGAAGUAUUUCGGUAUGUAAAGCUCUAUCGGCAGGGAAGAAAAAAAUGACAGUACCUGACUAAGAAGCCCCGGCUAACUACGUGCCAGCAGCCGCGGUAAUACGUAGGGGGCAAGCGUUAUCCGGAUUUACUGGGUGUAAAGGGGGCGCAGACGGCGAUGCAAGCCAGGAGUGAAAGCCCGGGGCCCAACCCCGUGACGGCUCUUGGAACUGCGUGG
RNAcentral lists this ribosomal RNA (292 nucleotides) under uncultured bacterium. Its description in RNAcentral is "partial 16S ribosomal RNA". It matches the Rfam family "Bacterial small subunit ribosomal RNA", at positions 334 to 640 of the family's 1533-position model. The record is from RNAcentral.